GCAUAAGGGCUCCACCUCUUCCCAUUCCGAACAGAGAAGUUAAACCUUAUCACGCCGAUGGUACUGCGAAAGCGGGAGAGUAGGUAAUCGCCCCCU
Molecule: ribosomal RNA, 96 nt
Filed under: Bacteroides sp.
Lineage: Bacteria; Pseudomonadati; Bacteroidota; Bacteroidia; Bacteroidales; Bacteroidaceae
Source: RNAcentral